Long non-coding RNA from Cornus florida, 725 nucleotides. RefSeq lists it as uncharacterized. The record is from RefSeq and is a predicted model, not a curated record. NCBI's taxonomy places the organism in Eukaryota, Viridiplantae, Streptophyta, Magnoliopsida, Cornales, Cornaceae. The transcript is spliced from 2 exons.
CGAAAUCCUUUUAAGUUGGGGAGAAUGUAAUGUCUGUGUAUUUAUGUGCAUAGGUGUAUAUAUAAUAUGUGUAUUAUGUUGUGUUAUGGCUCAAAUUUAAGCAAAAAGUUAAAGGAAAAAGAAAAUAAAAGGUGGUGGGACCUACCAUUAAACCAACUAAGGGCCAAGAGACCACAAAUGGUCUCAUUUCUCUCCUUCUCUCCCGUGCGCCUCUCUCUUCCCCUCUUCCUCUCGGUUUUUCUUUUCAUUUUAAUUUCCAAAACUUUGAAACAAGAUCUUGAUCUCAUUUCUUAUCGAAAUUGAGUGCCGUUUGAGGCAAAACGAAGCUCGUGUCAAGCUCUACACAUCCAUACAAGCGAUUUCAGAUUUAGUGCACUCCUUGGAGUUCGAAUCUUAGGACCCAUUUCUAGGGUUUGCGAAGAAAAUUGGGGUUUUUGCUCAAUUAGAGGAACCGAUAAGGAGGUAGUGGAUGCCGAUCUUCCACAAGCUUAAGGAUGACUUGGAGCUCAUUUUGUAUCUUUUGUAUAUCUCCCAUUUUUGUAAGGCCCCAAAAGUGUAGUAAUGUGUAUUUAUUUUUCAAAACCAUGGUUAGGUAAUAUAAUUAUGUUAUUAGAUGAUAUUUUGGAUGUGAAUUUAAUAACAUGUAAACCUUAUUGAUGAAUGGGGAGAGUAAUACUAGUUUGAAGUAUUAUUGAGGUCAUUUGAUUGUGUAUUAUCAUCUACAA